AGAGUUUGAUCCUGGCUCAGAGUGAACGCUGGCGGCGUGCUUAACACAUGCAAGUCGAGCGAAUUUUGGCAGCGUAUCGCCAAAGUUAGCGGCAGACGGGUGAGUAAUACUUGNGGUAAUCUACCCUUGNAGUGGGAAACAACCUGCCGAAAGGCGGGCUAAUGUCCCAUAAGACCACAGGAGCGCAUGCUCCAGGGGUCAAAGGUCCGCAAGGGCCGCUUAUGGAGGAACCCGAGUCCUAUCAUGGUAGUUGGUGAGGUAACGGCUCACCAAGCCUUUGACGGGUAGCCGGCCUGAAAGGGUGAUCGGCCACACUGGCACUGAGACACGGGCCAGACUCCUACGGGAGGCAGCAGUGGGGAAUUUUGGACAAUGGGGGCAACCCUGAUCCAGCGACGCCGCGUGGAGGACGAAGGUCUUCGGAUUGUAAACUCCUUUUAGAGGGGAUGAAUGCCUGCGUGAAUAACGCAGGGUGACAGUACCCUUUGAAUAAGCCACGGCUAACUACGUGCCAGCAGCCGCGGUAAUACGUAGGUGGCAAGCGUUACUCGGAAUCACUAGGCGUAAAGCGCAGGUAGGCGGUUCGGUAAGUCUUUUGUGAAAGCUCCUGGCUCAACUGGGAGAGGUCAAAGGAAACUGCCGGGCUANAGUUUGGUAGGGGAGACUGGAAUUCCUGGUGUAGCGGUGAAAUGCGUANAUAUCAGGAGGAAUAC
This 713-nucleotide ribosomal RNA is filed under the name uncultured bacterium. RNAcentral describes it as "bacterial SSU rRNA". It matches the Rfam family "Bacterial small subunit ribosomal RNA", at positions 8 to 709 of the family's 1533-position model. The record is from RNAcentral.